GGGAAAUGGCCAAUCCCUGCUGGGAGGGACAGAGUCCGCCCCUGAGCAGCAACUGCAAAACAAGACACUCCUGAGUGAAGAGUGAGCACCAAACGGAUGGGGCGGAUUCCAGGCACUGAUGAAGACAUCUUUUCCAGUGGGCGGGGCCACUGUGCCUACAGUUCUCUCCUACCUGAGCCCCACAUGGGUGAAGAGGCUGAGGAUCAGAACCCCUUACAACUACGUCACCAUGAUGCAAUCAUCCCCCUGGCUUAGUGGUACUCGGUGGCAAUAUUUGGGCUUUUAAAGACUGUGGUGAGGGGGCUGGGGUUGUGGCUCAGCGGUAGAGCGCUUGCUUCACACAUGCAAGGCCCCUGGGUUCGAUCCUCAGCACCACAUAAAAAUAAACAAAUAAAGGUAUUAUGUCCA
This 408-nucleotide long non-coding RNA is filed under the name Urocitellus parryii (Arctic ground squirrel). RNAcentral describes it as "lncRNA (ENSUPAG00010004815.1)". The stretch from base 306 to 375 matches the Rfam family "tRNA". Lineage: Eukaryota; Metazoa; Chordata; Mammalia; Rodentia; Sciuridae. The record is from RNAcentral.